GAUGAACGCUGGCGGCGUGCUUAACAUAUGCAAGUCGAACGAUGAAGCCCAGCUUGCUGGGUGGAUUAGUGGCGAACGGGUGAGUAACACGUGAGUAACCUGCCCUUAACUCUGGGAUAAGCCUGGGAAACUGGGUCUAAUACCGGAUAGGAGCGUCCACCGCAUGGUGGGUGUUGGAGAGAUUUAUCGGUUUUGGAUGGACUCGCGGCCUAUCAGCUUGUUGGUGAGGUAAUGGCUCACCAAGGCGACGACGGGUAGCCGGCCUGAGAGGGUGACCGGCCACACUGGGACUGAGACACGGCCCAGACUCCUACGGGAGGCAGCAGUGGGGAAUAUUGCACAAUGGGCGCAAGCCUGAUGCAGCGACGCCGCGUGAGGGAUGACGGCCUUCGGGUUGUAAACCUCUUUCAGUAGGGAAGAAGCGAAAGUGACGGUACCUGCAGAAGAAGCACCGGCUAACUACGUG
This 466-nucleotide ribosomal RNA is filed under the name uncultured bacterium. RNAcentral describes it as "partial 16S ribosomal RNA". It matches the Rfam family "Bacterial small subunit ribosomal RNA", at positions 28 to 507 of the family's 1533-position model. The record is from RNAcentral.